CAGAGUUUCACGACUCCCAAACCACUGUUAACGUACCCGUACCGUUGCCUCGGCGGGCGGCCCCUGGGAGGGGCCGCAGCCUCCCCCGCGGAGGCGCCCGCCGCAGGUCUCCCAAAACUAUAUACGUAUUGAGUGGCACUUCUGAGCAAACUUCCAAACAAUCA
Molecule: unclassified non-coding RNA, 164 nt
Filed under: uncultured Ascomycota
Lineage: Eukaryota; Fungi; Ascomycota
Description: sequence contains ITS1
Source: RNAcentral